RNAcentral lists this ribosomal RNA (254 nucleotides) under uncultured bacterium. Its description in RNAcentral is "partial 16S ribosomal RNA". It matches the Rfam family "Bacterial small subunit ribosomal RNA", at positions 524 to 776 of the family's 1533-position model. The record is from RNAcentral.
UACGUAGGUGGCAAGCGUUUGUCCGGAAUUAUUGGGCGUAAAGCGCGCGCAGGCGGCUUCUUAAGUCUGAUGCGAAAUCUCGGGGCUCAACCCCGAGCGGCCAUUGGAAACUGGGAAGCUUGAGUACAGAAGAGGAGAGUGGAAUUCCACGUGUAGCGGUGAAAUGCGUAGAUAUGUGGAGGAACACCAGUGGCGAAGGCGACUCUCUGGUCUGUAACUGACGCUGAGGCGCGAAAGCGUGGGGAGCAAACAGG